AGUAGGGAAUCUUCGCGCCAGAGCUGAGAGUCUGACGGAGCACGCCCGCGUGAGUGAUGAAGGCUUUCGGGUCGUAAAACUCUGUUGUUAGGGAAGAACAAGUGCUAGUUGAAUAAGCUGGCACCUUGACGGUACCUAACCAGAAAGCCACGGCUAACUACGUGCCAGCAGCCGCGGUAAUACGUAGGUGGCAAGCGUUAUCCGGAAUUAUUGGGCGUAAAGCGCGCGCAGGUGGUUUCUUAAGUCUGAUGUGAAAGCCCACGGCUCAACCGUGGAGGGUCAUUGGAAACUGGGAGACUUGAGUGCAGAAGAGGAAAGUGGAAUUCCAUGUGUAGCGGUGAAAUGCGUAGAGAUAUGGAGGAACACCAGUGGCGAAGGCGACUUUCUGGUCUGUAACUGACACUGAGGCGCGAAAGCGUGGGGAGCAAACAGGAUUAGAUACCCUGGUAGUCCACGCCGUAAACGAUGAGUGCUAAGUGUUAGAGGGUUUCCGCCCUUUAGUGCUGAAGUUAACGCAUUAAGCACUCCGCCUGGGGAGUACGGCCGCAAGGCUGAAACUCAGUGAUUUGGCGGGGG
Molecule: ribosomal RNA, 576 nt
Filed under: uncultured Bacillus sp.
Lineage: Bacteria; Bacillati; Bacillota; Bacilli; Caryophanales; Bacillaceae
Description: bacterial SSU rRNA
Rfam family: Bacterial small subunit ribosomal RNA
Source: RNAcentral